RNAcentral lists this long non-coding RNA (5278 nucleotides) under Gossypium barbadense (sea-island cotton). RNAcentral describes it as "long non-coding RNA (GBAR_LNC001929)". Lineage: Eukaryota; Viridiplantae; Streptophyta; Magnoliopsida; Malvales; Malvaceae. The record is from RNAcentral.
GGACGUCUUUGCAUGGUCAUACUAGGAUAUGCCUGGUCUAAGUACCGAUGUCGCAGUGCAUCGUGUCCCUACAAAAAAUAAUUGCAAGCCAGUUCAGCAGAAGCUCCGAAGGAUGAGACCCCGAUGUAGCAAUGGAAAUAAAGGAAGAAGCCAAGAAACAGUUUAAUGCUAGAUUCCUACAGGUGGUCAAUUAUUCAGAAUGGGUGGCCAACGUUGUCCCUGUCCCUAAGAAAGAUGGGAAAGUGCAGAUGUGUGUAGAUUAAAGAGAUUUAAACAAGGCCAGCCCAAAGGAUAACUUUUCAUUGCCUCACAUAGGAUAACUUUUCAUUGCCUCACAUAGACACUCUAGUGGAUAAUACGGCAGGCUAUUCACUGUUCUCCAUCAUGGAUGGGUUCUCCGGGUACAAUCAGAUCAAGAUGCAUCAUGAGGACAGGGAAAAAAUCACAUUUAUAACUUUAUGGGGAAUGUUUUGCUACAAGGUGAUGCCCUUCAGGUUGAAAAAUGCAGGACCCACAUACCAAAAAGCCAUGGUAACCUUGUUCCAUGACAUGAUGCACAAGGAAAUUGAGGUCUACGUUGACGACAUGAUUGUAAAAUCCCAAACUGAAGAGGAGCAUGUGCGAGUGUUGAGGAAAUUAUUCCUGAGGUUGAGAAAAUUUCAAUUAAAGCUCAAUCCGUCAAAAUACACCUUCGGAGCUAGGUCCGGAAAGCUACUCGGCUUCGUAGUCAGUGAAAAGGGAAUAGAAGUCGACCCUGAUAAAGUCAAGGCUAUACAGGAGCUGCCUCCGCCACGAACUCAGAAAGAAGUUUGAGGUUUCCUAGGGAGACUAAACUAUAUCGCACGGUUUAUUUCACAACUGACUGAGAAGUGUGACCCCAUAUUUCGUAUUCUUAAAAAGCACAAUCCUGGGGUAUGGGAUGAUGAAUGCCAAGAAACCUUUGAAAAGGUUAAACAAUAUUUGUCCAGUCCUCCAGUGCUAACACUACCAAGCCCUGGUAGACCAUUGAUACUGUACUUAACAAUAUUUGAUAAUUCGAUGGGGUGUGUGCUCGGCCAACACGAUGAGACUGGGAGAAAAAAAGAGCGAUAUAUUAUCUCAGUAAAAAAUUCACUGAGUGUGAAAUGAGGUAUCCGCCAAUUGAGAAGCUCUGUUGUGCUUUGUUUUGGACAACACGAAGGUUGAGGCAAUACAUGUUGUACCAUACAACUUGGCUAAUCUCAAAGCUAAACGCUCUCAAAUACAUGAUGGAGUCAACAUUUUAAAUGGAAUGAUGGCCCGAUGACAGAUUCUACUCUCUGAAUUUGACAUAGUCUAUGUAAACCAAAAAGCUGUGAAGGGGAUUGCAAUAGCAGACUUCCUAGCCAGUAGAGCUUUGGAGGACUAUGAACCUUUGAAUUUCAGUUUCCCCAAUAAAGAUCUAGUGUAUGUAGCAAUCGCUGAAGGAGACAUGCCUGAAGAUCAUUCUUGGAAAUUAAAUUUUGACGGAGCAUCAAUUGCCGUUGGAAAUGGAGUUAGGGCAAUACUGAUAUCCCCAAAUGGAUAUCAUUAUUCAUUCACUUGCAAGCUGGAUUUUGACUGCACAAAUAAUAUGGCAGAAUACGAGGCAUGUAUCAUGGGAAUUGAAGCAGCUAUAGAAGGCGAAAUCAAAGUACUAGAAGUUUAUGGAGAUUCUGCAUUGGUAAUUUAUCAACUUAUAAGCGAGUGGGAAACAAGAAAUCCCAAAUUGAUCAGUUACCGAAAGCUAAUCCUGGAGUUAAUUGAAGAGUUUGAUGACAUUACCUUUCAUUACCUCCCCAAGACGAGAAUCAGAUCGCUGACGCCUUGGCUACACUAGCUUCCUUGAUCAAAGUAAAUAGACAGGAGGAUAUGAAGCCAAUUCAAAUGAGUAUCUGUGAGGCUUCAGCUCACUACUGUAAUAUCGAUGAAGAGGAAGAGAGAGAUGAUCAUCCUUGGUAUCAUGAUAUCUUACAAUAUGUGAAGAGCCGUACGUACCCAGAUCAAGCAACCGAAAAUGAUAAAAGAACAUUGAGGAGGUUAGCCAGUGACUAUGUCCUAGACGGUAAGGUCCUAUAUAAGAGGAGAAAAGAUCAGGAGUUGCUAAGAUGUGUUGACGCUGUUGAGGCAAAGAAAAUUCUAGAGGAAGUCCAUGAUGGUGUCUGUGGGACACAUGCCAAUGGUUUCACAAUGGCUCGACAGAUCAUGAGAUUCGGAUAUUACUGGUCUACAAUGGAAGGAGAUUGUAUCAAUUACGCUAAGAAGUGCCAUAAGUGUCAAAUUUAUGGAGACAAGAUCUAUGUGCCUCCUUCACCCCUCCAUUUUAUGACUUCCCCAUGGCCAUUCUCAAUGUGGGGCAUGGACAUCAUUGGGCCGAUUUCGCCAAAGGCUUCCAAUGGACAUCGAUUCAUUUUUGUGGUCAUUGACUACUUUACCAAAUGGGUAGAGGCUACUUCGUACGCCAAUGUCACAAAGUCGGCGGUCAGCAAGUUCUUGAAGAAAGAGAUCGUAUGCCGUUAUGAUAUGCCAGAAAGAAUCGUAUCUGACAACGCGUUGAAUCUGAACAAUAGCGUAAUAACAGAAGUCUACAGCCGGUUCAACAUUAAACAUCACAACUCGUCACCAUACCGCCCGAAAAUGAAUGGGGCGGUUGAGGCAGCUAAUAAGAACAUCAAGAAGAUUGUGGGGAAGAUGGCAGAGACCUACAAAGAUUGGCAUAAAAAGCUCCCAUUUGCCCUUUAUGCUUAUCGGACAUCUGUCAGAACUUCUACUGGGGUAACACCUUUCUCAUUAGUUUAUGGGAUGGAGGCAGUUUUACCUAUUGAGGUCAAAAUCCCUUCUCUUCGAGUUUUAUCAGAGCUGAAGUUGGACGAAGCAGAAUGGAUCCAAUCUCGUUACAAUCAACUAAACUUGAUUGAAGAGAGGAGGCUGAAUGCUAUUUGUCAUGGUCAAAUGUACCAGAGGAGAAUGAUGCGAGCCUACAACAAAAAAGUUCGCCCUAAGGUAUUCCAUAAGAGGGACUGAGUAUUGAAAAAGAUUCUCCUUAUGCAGAAAGAUUUCAGGGGGAAAUGGAUGCCAAAUUGGGAAGGACCCUAUGUGGUAAAAAAAGCUUUCUCUGGAGGGGCAUUGAUACUAGCAGAGAUGGAUGGCAAGAGCUUGCCUAACCCGAUAAAUUUAGAUUCUGUCAAAAGAUAUUUUGCUUGAAGCAGUUGAGGUGAAAACCCGUAAAGGGCGCAAAAAAAAAGGGAGAGGCCAAGGUGAAAACCUGUAAAAGGGCGCCUUAAGACCAAAGGGGUUUUUGAAUUGAAAACCCACAAAGGGCAAUUCAAAUUUCAAUCCAAACUGGGGCAAGCGGCAGUCUCACUACACUUGAAUCGACAAAGAAGAGAUAAGCUACAUCUUGGGGCAUCAACAAAAUGCUAUAGAUCCCUUAAGAGUGUGCCAAGUUUAAAAGGGUCCUCAAGGAGUUCGUACAGGAAAGCUCAAACUGUGAAAUCUGGGGCACCUAUUCUGUUCCUUUCAUCCGUUUUUAUAUCUCAAACAAUGUCUACUUUCUUUGUUGAUACAUCUUUCGCAAAUUUUGACUCGAAUAAAUUUCAGUUCUACCUAUCAUUAUAAUCUUUUUCGAGUAUUUUUAUUGAAAUAAUGAUUAAUGAACUAAUAAUGCUCUCAAAAGAAGGUUUUGCAUAUUACUUUGAAAGGUUUCUAAACAAUACGAGAACCUAAAACAGGACAAUUAUUUAGAACUCACCGAGCUUAAAAGGGCUAGAAACGUGUGAGAAAUAAUUGAUUAACCGCAUCUUCAAGUCCUCUUUUACCGAGCUGAACAAAAAGGCAUAUGUCAGGGAUGUUACCUUAGUAAAUAACAAGCGAUGACAGCCCAAAAGUUAAAAUGGAUCAUUCUCAUGACAUUGUGCAUUUUGUGCAUUUAACAUCCAUCAUACAUGUAGUUAGGAGCAUUUGAUUCAUAUUAAUCAUGGCAACCUAAUCAUCUAGCAUAAGCAUAUCACUCUUCUACAGAUGGAUUCCCAGUGGACAAGGUAGCAAGAUUACAGAUAUCAUCAGCCUUAUCUUCACUGGGCAGGAGUGGAGCAGGCUAAAUAUCAGAUCUUAUCUUCAUUGAGCAGGAGUGAAGCAGAUCAAAUUUUGGAGAAUCUUAUCUCCACGUACCGGCGAUGGAGCAGAUUCCAAUCAUCAGCUUUAUCUUCACUGAGCAGGAGUAGAGCAGGCUAAAUAUACCAGGUCUUAUCUUCACUGAACAGGAGCGGAGAAGAUCAAAUUUUGGUGAAUCUUAUCUCCAUGGAUCGACAAUGGAGCAGAUUUCAGCCACCAGUCUUAUCUUCACUGAGCAGGAGUGAAGCAGAUCAAAUUAUAGCAAAUCUUAUCUUCGUUGAGCAGGAGCGAAGCAGAUCAGAUUUCAGCAGAUCCCACCCCACUGAACAGGAAUGGAAUGGAUCAAGUCUCAAUAAAUCGUAUAUCUACAAAGUAGCAAUGAAGCAUCUGGAAGUAAUAGGAUGCAGGGGGUUAAAACGAGGCUACUUGAAGAAAAGAGGCAAUCAAGAAAUCAAGACAUGAUGGGGCCAGGCAAAAUUGGCCCUUCUAAGUCUUUGCUCUAUUCUCGUUACACGACAAUGAGCAAAGAGGGGCAGCUGUUGGACCAAUUUUCUUUGCCUAGCCCACUAAUCAAACCCAUUAACCACUAGCCCAAUCCUAUAACCCAAAAUAGCCCAAAACCAAAACAAAAUUCACCUCAAUAUCCCAAUCCCCACAUCGUACGUGCCUCCACCAUCCACCGCACCUCCGAGACGUGCACUACCAACAGUCCCUCUUUGUCACGCCUCGUGCUUCCGAGAUAUCCGCAACAACACCUAUAACAGGAAGCAAACAGAUAGCAACCAAUAGAAGAUUUUAUUUGUUUUUCUAGGCUAUAAAAGCCAUUUUAAACAAUGUAAAGGGGUCAAUUUUUGUUUACUACAAAAAAUCAGAGAGAAAUAUACGAAAACAGCAAGUUUUGAGUAAAAGCUUUCAUACAUUCGAAUAGAAUAAUGUGGUUACAAUCUUUUCUUUUAGUUUUUUUUAUCUUUAGAGCUUUUUGUGGAUCUAUCUUGCAUUUUUGAAAAACAGAGUUAAAAAAAAUAAAAAGAUUUUAGGAGGGCCUUACCUGGACUCCCGUGCGUGCUGCUGGCCACCAAAUCCAGUGGUGGAGCGACAGCGAUUGAAGGUUGUGAUAAUGGGCAUGGUUCAUGGCCCUAGCAAAAGAAAAAGGGUGAAAGUCCCUUUG